CAUCCCUGCUCUACCCAGGGAUAAACAAAAUAAACUGGAAUCCACUGAGGGGCAAACUGUGGGCAGGAUGUGCCCCACACACUCACUGCCACAUUCCAAUCUGAACUAAAGCCUGCACCUGCUAAAAGGUGCCUUUUUUACAUAUGUAAAAUAAAAAGCCAAACUAUUUGGCUUUUAAAGGCAUUCAUGAGUUUCUGCCUCUUUAUCCUGACUCCAUUUUCACCCUUGGAUGUCUACGGAGCAGCAUUGAUUACUGGAUCCUGAGCCUGACCCAGAUUAAAAGAGAAACAUUAUACAAAUUUGCUAUUUAUUUUUGUCUGCCUCUUACUGAGGCUCUGGCUGACAGCUUGCAGGAGGCAGGCUGGAACAGGUCAGCACAUGCCCCAAGCCCAGUCUGUCACUGAGUCCAUGGAACUGGAGGCUGCCUUGGCUUUCUGUAGUUUAUAGCACUGCAGUGAACCACAGUCUCCCUCCCCACAAAAUGGGUCAGGCAUGAGAAUGCUCUUAUUUAAUUACUCAAGGGAAAUAUUGACACUUUUAAUUCAUUUUCAUUUCCUUUCUUGUCAAUAUCUCUCCUUUCUUUACUAUCCCUUUUGUGUGCGCUUGCAAAUCUUCCUUUUAGGAAAACCACUGCAGAGACUCUUAUUUCUCCCCCAAUAUAUAUUUAAUUCCCUCUUCCUUAUUGCCCUUUAACACAAACAUGAGUCUGCUCCUUAGACAAACAAUCCUUAUGAUAACUGUUGAAAGCCUCCCCUUGCUCAGAUGGAAAGUUAAAAUUUGGAGAUGAAAGAAAAAUCUUCUUGCGAUCAUAUCCUUCCCCCCAGAGUUAACUGGCUAACUGAGAAAAAAUAUUAAUUAAAAUUUUAUUAUUUGCCUAUGCUAAAUAUUGACUUUCUAUCUAAUCCUUCAGCUGUGUGACACUCUACUAAUGAGGCAUCGUGGGCAGUGCAUUCCUUUGUUUAUUUGGUACAAUCAUGAUUACUGGAAUGGGCAGUGCCCCGAGGAAAACGCAGCUCAGCUUUGCACUCAUCCAGGACAGAAAUUUCUGGCUGCACACACAGAAGGGGGCCCUACAUCAAAAUGCUGCUGACCAGAGAUCUGACCUUAUCUGUGGAUCCAGCUUCUUCUCAGUCAAGUGAUAAAAAUGGCAUGAGAUCUGUAAAGAAAAGUAUUUUAAUUGGCAUUGCUGUCUGGAAAUGACAUUUUGAAAAGGAAUGCCAGGAAAAUCUGAAUUUUGGCUGAGUACAAGUUCCAUAAAACCUUUACAAUUUUUCUUUAUUAACUAUAGAAAGGAAAAAGAAUUGAAGAUUUCCAUAAUGGGAUACAUAUUCUGACCCUUAUCAGCACAAGCCUUGACAAGGGAAAUUUAAGGAGACAAAUGAGAACCAGCUGCUUCCAUAAGUGAUGAUGGAACCACAGAGCCAGAUGGACCCUGAGCAAAGUGGAUCUUAAAGAAAUCGUCACUCACCUUUCACUAUGCACAGUAAAUAAACUGAUCCGGAGCUACAAAUACAAAAUAGAUUUUUUUCACCCAAUAAGUUGUAAGUUAUGUUUAAAACAUAUGGGAUGUAUUAGAGAUGCAAAUAAAGCUGUGUGUUAAUUAUUGUAUAAAAUAUCAACUACAGAAGAUCUGUCAGUUUUUGGGACAAACAAGUGUUAUUGUCAUGCAACGUGCAGUAAAUGUAGGGGAUCUGAGAGAUAUCUCAUAAAAUAUUCUAUGAACUUUGUCACCACAGACAUCAGGCAUAUUUACAUUUAUAGCUGAUUUUUUGUGAGGUUUUAAUUACUGUAAGGAAGGCUACACCUAUCUGUCAUGCAACUCUACCACCAUCUCUGACAUAUAAACUUAGAAGUAUUUCUUUCUCCAAAUGCUCUCACAUACCCAACAAACAGAAAUCUGCAGAUUGUGCCUUGCUGUGACCAAAGAUUUGGUUUUUCCUUUCCAACAUUUAGGUGUGCAGUCUGUCAACAUACUGAGCACUGAACUAUCCUCUGCCUUAUACACUAGGAAUAAUUUCAGGAAGAUAAAUCUGCAGCCUGUUGCUCUGUUUACAUCAUUAACCUCUUAGCCUCAGCUUACAAUCAUUCCUUUUAUUUCCCAAAACUGGUUUUUGUUUGCUUUCAAGUCCAAGGUCACCUCCCAGUUGAACCAAACCCUUUGGAUGUGCUAGUUCCUGACUCACUGAUGGACUCUGUGGCUGCAUUUCCAAUCAAGUGCACUCAGACAUUCCCACAUGGAGCCUGCUUGGGGUGGUACUGAGGGACAACUGUGAUGAUUUUCCUUUCUUUAUUUUUUCUUACUGUGUAAAACUCCUGACAAUAAUUAGGCUGCGUAUUUCUACAUUUUUUUACAUCAACAUCUAUUUUACUUCUACCCACUGGAAAUGUGUGGAGAAGACAAAGGUGUGCAGCAACAGGAAGCACAGGGGCACAGGAAAUUCUGGUUUAAUAUUAGGGUUUUAACUCUUUUUUCGCUAUCAGAAGUGUGCUUAAACAUGUCAAGCACAGAUGCUGAGGAAUUGACAUCUCUCAAUACAUUCAAACUGGCUGGAGCGACCUGGCCUAAU
Motacilla alba alba is the source of this 2567-nucleotide long non-coding RNA. RefSeq lists it as uncharacterized. NCBI's taxonomy places the organism in Eukaryota, Metazoa, Chordata, Aves, Passeriformes, Motacillidae. The transcript has 3 exons. The record is from RefSeq and is a predicted model, not a curated record.